This 253-nucleotide ribosomal RNA is filed under the name uncultured bacterium. Its description in RNAcentral is "partial 16S ribosomal RNA". It matches the Rfam family "Bacterial small subunit ribosomal RNA", at positions 524 to 776 of the family's 1533-position model. The record is from RNAcentral.
UACGGGGGGGGCAAGCGUUGUUCGGAAUUACUGGGCGUAAAGGGCUUGUAGGCGGCCAACUAAGUCAGACGUGAAAUCCCUCGGCUUAACCGGGGAACUGCGUCUGAUACUGGAUAGCUUGAGUUCGGGAGAGGGAUGCGGAAUUCCAGGUGUAGCGGUGAAAUGCGUAGAUAUCUGGAGGAACACCGGUGGCGAAGGCGGCAUCCUGGACCGACACUGACGCUGAUGAGCGAAAGCCAGGGGAGCAAACGGG